This 494-nucleotide ribosomal RNA is filed under the name uncultured bacterium. RNAcentral describes it as "partial 16S ribosomal RNA". It matches the Rfam family "Bacterial small subunit ribosomal RNA", at positions 28 to 507 of the family's 1533-position model. The record is from RNAcentral.
GACGAACGCUGGCGGCGUGCCUAAUACAUGCAAGUCGAGCGGACUUAAAAAGCUUGCUUUUUAAGUUAGCGGCGGACGGGUGAGUAGCGCGUGGGCAACCUGCCUGUAAGACUGGGAUAACUUCGGGAAACCGGAGCUAAUACCGGAUAAUCCUUUUCUACUCAUGUAGAAAAGCUGAAAGACGGUUUACGCUGUCACUUACAGAUGGGCCCGCGGCGCAUUAGCUAGUUGGUGAGGUAACGGCUCACCAAGGCGACGAUGCGUAGCCGACCUGAGAGGGUGAUCGGCCACACUGGGACUGAGACACGGCCCAGACUCCUACGGGAGGCAGCAGUAGGGAAUCUUCCGCAAUGGACGAAAGUCUGACGGAGCAACGCCGCGUGAGUGAUGAAGGUUUUCGGAUCGUAAAACUCUGUUGUUAGGGAAGAACAAGUACGAGAGUAACUGCUCGUACCUUGACGGUACCUAACCAGAAAGCCACGGCUAACUACGUG